Long non-coding RNA from Pundamilia nyererei, 311 nucleotides. RefSeq lists it as uncharacterized. Lineage: Eukaryota; Metazoa; Chordata; Actinopteri; Cichliformes; Cichlidae. The record is from RefSeq and is a predicted model, not a curated record. The transcript has 3 exons.
CCCAGGGCGACUUCACCACCACUCAGCCACUGCCUGCUGUGAAGGUGAAGCUGUUUACUGAGAGCACAGGAGUGUUAGCUCUGGAAGAUAAGGAGCUGGGGAGGGUUGUUCUCCACCCGACUCCCAACAGUCCUAAGCAGUCUGAACUCCAUAAGAUGACAGUGUGUAAAGGCUGCUCAGACAGUGACCUCAAGAUCAAACUGGCCAUUCGCAUGGACAAACCACAGAACAUGAAACAUUGUGGGUACCUUUGGGCCAUUGGCAAAAAUGUAUGGAAAAGAUGGAAGAAAAGAUUCUUCGUGCUAGUCCAG